RNAcentral lists this ribosomal RNA (209 nucleotides) under uncultured bacterium. RNAcentral's name for it is "partial 16S ribosomal RNA". It matches the Rfam family "Bacterial small subunit ribosomal RNA", at positions 1284 to 1500 of the family's 1533-position model. The record is from RNAcentral.
GUUCUCAGUUCGGAUCGGAGUCUGCAACCCGACUCCGUGAAGCUGGAUUCGCUAGUAAUCGCGCAUCAGCCAUGGCGCGGUGAAUACGUUCCCGGGCCUUGUACACACCGCCCGUCAAGCCAUGGGAGCCGGGGGUGCUUGAAGUGCGUCGCCGCAAGGCGCGCCCUAGAGCAAAACCGGUGACUGGGGCUAAGUCGUAACAAGGUAGC